AUGCACGCUGGCGGCGUGCCUAAUACCUGCAAGUCGAGCGAACAGACGAGGAGCUUGCUCCUUUGACGUUAGCGGCGGACGGGUGAGUAACACGUGGAUAACCUACCUAUAAGACUGGGAUAACUUCGGGAAACCGGAGCUAAUACCGGAUAAUAUAUUGAACCGCAUGGUUCAAUAGUGAAAGACGGUUUUGCUGUCACUUAUAGAUGGAUCCGCGCCGCAUUAGCUAGUUGGUAAGGUAACGGCUUACCAAGGCAACGAUGCGUAGCCGACCUGAGAGGGUGAUCGGCCACACUGGAACUGAGACACGGUCCAGACUCCUACGGGAGGCAGCAGUAGGGAAUCUUCCGCAAUGGGCGAAAGCCUGACGGAGCAACGCCGCGUGAGUGAUGAAGGUCUUCGGAUCGUAAAACUCUGUUAUUAGGGAAGAACAAAUGUGUAAGUAACUAUGCACGUCUUGACGGUACCUAAUCAGAAAGCCACGGCUAACUACGUG
This 496-nucleotide ribosomal RNA is filed under the name uncultured bacterium. Its description in RNAcentral is "partial 16S ribosomal RNA". It matches the Rfam family "Bacterial small subunit ribosomal RNA", at positions 29 to 507 of the family's 1533-position model. The record is from RNAcentral.